This 24-nucleotide microRNA is filed under the name Brachionus plicatilis. Its description in RNAcentral is "Bpl-Mir-36-P18_3p (mature (guide))". The record is from RNAcentral. RNAcentral also lists the same sequence under 1 other name. Lineage: Eukaryota; Metazoa; Rotifera; Eurotatoria; Ploima; Brachionidae.
UCACCGGGUUUUCACACUUGCCAA